Molecule: non-coding RNA, 1110 nt
Organism: Callorhinus ursinus (northern fur seal)
Lineage: Eukaryota; Metazoa; Chordata; Mammalia; Carnivora; Otariidae
Source: RefSeq, a predicted model, not a curated record
GGUAAUUUUAACGGUGACCGGUCGGUCCUCGCGCGCCUCCCCGGGUCCCUGCACCUAGUUGGAGGGGACAGAGCGACAGCGGGGUGCAACUCCGGGCGCCCUGGAGGACUCUCCGAGGGGUGUCGGGCUUCAGCUCGCAGCCGGCGAAAUAGCCCCCUCCCCGGGGGAGGGGAGGGGGGCCAAGCGUGAUCCCGACGUGCCCUUCGUCCCGGGCACGCCGAGAAUCGUCUAAGAGGGCUGACUCGGAUCGUGGUGCACGUUAACCCUCAAACCGCUUUCGUUCCGGACCAGGACCACGGGGCUGCGGGGAUUGCCUCUGCGUGCAACUCAGGAAAGUUUGAAGGGUCCCCGCGACUGCAUGUGCACCGUCACCUUUCCUGCCCGUGAAAGCGGGUGCCCUCCCUGCCCCCCCCCCUUUCGCUCUCUGCAGGUCUGGAAAUCUGCUUUGGGUACUGAAGUCCCCAGUCCCAGCCUUGGAAGAAGACCCGCGCACUCCUUUCGCAGCUGAUUCGGGAUCAUUAAUUUAAUCGGAAAUGAGGUAACCAGUGCAGGAGAUACAGAAAGCAAACCGAGCAUCAAAUGGCAGUUCUCAUGAAUCCACGCUGAGGAACUUCCUCUGCGCUCAAUGCUGAUGCGCGGUUCUCAGCUGCCCACCACCCCGCCCCUCCGCGUGCACCACCGCCAGGUGUUAGUCGGUGGGAAGGAAUCUUCUGUGGACGGGUGCACCCUGCCAACAGGUGUGGCUCCUGGAGAAGAGCGAAGGCACCUCGGUGCUGAAGGGAGCUCAGUGCGGCGUUCUCCUUGCUGCAGAUAAUUCUGGAAGACCAGUAGGUGUCGGGGCAGCAUUUGACCUCUUUCAGCCUCUAGUGGACAGUUGAAAUCAGUUUCCUGAAAAGGCUCUUCCUGGCGUUUUGUUGUUGACAAGCGUUAUCAAGGUGAAGGCUAAGAUCUCAGAACAGAACCGGAGACUGGCUCCUCCCCCUGCUUGGUGGAUUCCGCUCUCGAAAGGAUCAGAAGCAGUCGGUUCGGCACCGAAAAGACGAAUGCUUUGUGCUAUGGGCAUUAUUAUUACUGGCCUGUGAAUAAACAGAGCUUCUGCUAUUCAUUUCA